Long non-coding RNA from Eptesicus fuscus (big brown bat), 207 nucleotides. RefSeq lists it as uncharacterized. The transcript has 3 exons. The record is from RefSeq and is a predicted model, not a curated record. NCBI's taxonomy places the organism in Eukaryota, Metazoa, Chordata, Mammalia, Chiroptera, Vespertilionidae.
CCGAGCAGGAUGAAAAAAUAACCCGAGCGAGACCGAGUGAAGAGGUGCAACGAGAGAGGAUGUGUCACAAGCAUGGACUCCGGCUGCGGAUCCCAGGCGCCUCCCUCCGCCCCUCUGCACAGGGUGCCCCGUGCCGCCCGUGGUAGCCGGCGCUGUGCCCGGGGCGCACCGGGAGGAGGGACCAGCAUCCGAUGCCCGGGCGCAGAU